UGAACUAUGCCUGAGCAGGGU
Molecule: unclassified non-coding RNA, 21 nt
Filed under: Chlamydomonas reinhardtii
Lineage: Eukaryota; Viridiplantae; Chlorophyta; Chlorophyceae; Chlamydomonadales; Chlamydomonadaceae
Description: small RNA Cre_2838
Source: RNAcentral